AUUGAACGCUGGCGGCAUGCCUUACACAUGCAAGUCGAACGGUAACAGGUCUUCGGAUGCUGACGAGUGGCGCACGGGUGAGUAAUACAUCGGAACGUGCCCGAUCGUGGGGGAUAACGAGGCGAAAGCUUUGCUAAUACCUCAUACGAUCUACGGAUGAAAGCGGGGGAUCUUCGGACCUCGCGCGGACGGAGCGGCCGAUGGCAGAUUAGGUAGUUGGUGGGAUAAAAGCUUACCAAGCCGACGAUCUGGAGCUGGUCUGAGAGGAUGAUCAGCCACACUGGGACUGAGACACGGCCCAGACUCCUACGGGAGGCAGCAGUGGGGAAUUUUGGACAAUGGGCGAAAGCCUGAUCCAGCCAUGCCGCGUGCAGGAUGAAGGCCUUCGGGUUGUAAACUGCUUUUGUACGGAACGAAAAGCCUCUUUCUAAUAAAGAGGGGUCAUGACGGUACCGUAAGAAUAAGCACCGGCUAACUACGUG
RNAcentral lists this ribosomal RNA (482 nucleotides) under uncultured bacterium. Its description in RNAcentral is "partial 16S ribosomal RNA". It matches the Rfam family "Bacterial small subunit ribosomal RNA", at positions 30 to 507 of the family's 1533-position model. The record is from RNAcentral.